AUUGAACGCUGGCGGCGUGCCUAACACAUGCAUGUCGAGCGGUAACAGGUGUAGCAAUACAUGCUGACGAGCGGCGGACGGGUGAGUAACGCUUGGGAAUCUGCCUGUUAGUGGGGGACAACCCGGGGAAACUCGGGCUAAUACCGCAUACGCACUACGGUGGAAAGCCGGGGACCGCAAGGCCUGGCGCUAACAGAUGAGCCCAAGUCGGAUUAGCUAGUUGGUAGGGUAACGGCCUACCAAGGCGACGAUCCGUAACUGGUCUGAGAGGACGACCAGUCACACCGGAACUGAGACACGGUCCGGACUCCUACGGGAGGCAGCAGUGGGGAAUAUUGGACAAUGGGGGCAACCCUGAUCCAGCGACGCCGCGUGGGUGAAGAAGGCCUGCGGGUUGUAAAGCCCUUUCGGUUGGGAAGAAAAGCUGUGACCUAACACGUUGCGGCCUUGACGUAACCAACUAAAGAAGCACCGGCUAACUCUGUGCCAGCAGCCGCGGUAAUACAGAGGGUGCG
This 515-nucleotide ribosomal RNA is filed under the name uncultured bacterium. RNAcentral's name for it is "bacterial SSU rRNA". It matches the Rfam family "Bacterial small subunit ribosomal RNA", at positions 29 to 536 of the family's 1533-position model. The record is from RNAcentral.